RNAcentral lists this transfer RNA (67 nucleotides) under Desbruyeresia cancellata. RNAcentral describes it as "tRNA-Cys". Lineage: Eukaryota; Metazoa; Mollusca; Gastropoda; Provannidae. The record is from RNAcentral.
CUCUCUAUAGUUUAGAAUAAAACCUUGAAUUGCAAGUUCAAAGAAGAAGCAAAAAUUUCUAGCGAGU